This 782-nucleotide ribosomal RNA is filed under the name uncultured bacterium. RNAcentral's name for it is "bacterial SSU rRNA". It matches the Rfam family "Bacterial small subunit ribosomal RNA", at positions 97 to 869 of the family's 1533-position model. The record is from RNAcentral.
GGCGAACGGGUGAGUAACACGUAGGGAACCUGGCCAUACCUGGGGGAUAAUUUCUGGAAACGGAAACUAAUACCGCAUGGGUUUUGCUUAAGCCUUUAAGCGAAAUGAAAGAAGCGCGAGACGCUUCGGGGAUGGAUGGUCCUGCGCUGCAUUAGCUGGCUGGUGAGGCAACGGCUCACCAGGGCGAUGAUGCAUAGCCGGCCUGAGAGGGCGGACGGCCACACUGGGACUGAGACACGGCCCAGACUCCUGCGGGAGGCAGCAGUAGGGAAUUUUCGUCAAUGGGGGCAACCCUGAACGAGCAAUGCCGCGUGAGCGAAGAAGGUCUUCGGAUUGUAAAGCUCUGUUGCCGGGGAAAAAGGAAGGAAAGAGGAAAUGCUUUUCUUUGGAUGGUACCCGGCCAGAAAGUCACGGCUAACUACGUGCCAGCAGCCGCGGUAAUACGUAGGUGGCAAGCGUUAUCCGGAAUGAUUGGGCGUAAAGGGUGAGCAGGCGGUUCUUCAAGUCAUGAGUGAAAGGCAGAAGCUUAACUUCUGUUGGCUGAUGAGACUGGAGAACUUGAGUACAGGAGAGGGCGGCGGAACUCCAUGUGUAGCGGUAAGAUGCGUAGAGAUAUGGAAGAACACCAGUGGCGAAGGCGGCCGCCUGGACUGAAACUGACGCUCAGGCACGAAAGCGUGGGGAGCAAAUAGGAUUAGAUACCCUAGUAGUCCACGCCGUAAACGAUGAGGAGCAGGUGUCGCAAUGAAAAUGCGGUGCCGAAGCCAACGCAAUGACUCCUC